CCUGAACUCGAGUAGGGCCCAAGCCAGCCAGGAAGGAGGAGGCAGCCAGAGUGUUCUCUGCAGCAGAAGACCCCUUGCUGCCCUGCUUAACCCAGACCAGCAUUUGCCAGGGGCAGCUGGGAAGAAUAUGGGCCUCCUCUCCCCUAGCUACGCCCCUGACUCAGCCUCUGGUGAGUUGACUGCAUCUCAUCCACCAGGUUGUUCUGACAGAAGAGCAACAAUAUAACUUGCGGAUAAACUUUGUGUGUUUAUCAAGAAGAUGAGGCCAGCUCUGUACUCAAUAUGAUAACCUAAACUUUCAAAAGAACCUCAGGGAGAUCCACAGAUUUCCCAGGCUUUUGCCCCAGCCCCCUCAAAUCUGAUGACUGAAGAAAGAGAAGAAGAUUGAAGAAGAGUAGACUCAACCAGACCACAGAAGUGGACAACUGGACACAAUGGGAGUGAAGCCCUAGACUGAGCAUGGAAGGAGCUCCACAAGAUGAUGAUGUCACAUCUCAUAUUUUCUUUCAAUUGGUGUUACAAAGCAGCAUUGCUUUCAAUGGCAACCGCACAGCCUAAGAAUAUCUAUAGUUCUGCUCUAAUAAAAGUUUAGA
Hemicordylus capensis (graceful crag lizard) is the source of this 593-nucleotide long non-coding RNA. RefSeq lists it as uncharacterized. The transcript is spliced from 4 exons. NCBI's taxonomy places the organism in Eukaryota, Metazoa, Chordata, Lepidosauria, Squamata, Cordylidae. The record is from RefSeq and is a predicted model, not a curated record.